UUCGUUUUCUCAUCGGAGCAGUCAGUCAGCGAUGUCUUGGCAACUCACAGCUGCGCCGCACGAUGUUGUGUGAGUGUUCGUCGAGGAAAACUUUCAUUAAUUUGGUUUUUCUGUGAUCUCUGAAGCUUUUCUGGACACUUCAGAUGGUAAGAGAAGAGGUGAAUGACUCCAGCGGCCGCUUGUGGAUCUUUUGGGAUUUUAUGUGCGUUGUUAUGGCUCGGACGAAGGUAAUAAGGCAGAUGGAUGAAAUGGACUUUGGAAGAGGGAGCAUCAAGAAAAGGAGGAAAAAUUAUACUAUGUUUCUCUACGAACACAAACAAACAACGGACUGCAAAAGAAAAAACAAAGUGGCCUUGUCCUCUCCCGGUGACCACCAAGCCGGAACUUGCGAAUCUAGACCUUAUUUACGCAAACAGCCGGAACCCAGUGGGGGAGGAAGGGGAGGGAGAGAGGAAACAGAGGAGGGAAAAAAAUGAGGGAAGGAUGAAGGAUGGAGGGGGAUGGAAUGCAUUUUCGAACUCUAGGGAGAGAUUUGGGACACGGGAUUGUAGUACUGUGUGUGUGUGUGUGUGUGUGUGUGUGUGUGUGACCGUGUCCAUAGC
This is a long non-coding RNA of Scylla paramamosain (green mud crab), 602 nucleotides long. RefSeq lists it as uncharacterized. NCBI's taxonomy places the organism in Eukaryota, Metazoa, Arthropoda, Malacostraca, Decapoda, Portunidae. The record is from RefSeq and is a predicted model, not a curated record. The transcript is spliced from 4 exons.